AGAGUUUGUAUCCUGGCUCAGGAUGAACGCUGGCGGCGUGCCUAACACAUGCAAGUCGAACGAAGCAACCGGGGCUUGCUCUGGUUGACUUAGUGGCGGACGGGUGAGUAAUGCGUGAGCAACCUGCCUUUCAGAGGGGGACAACAGUUGGAAACGACUGCUAAUACCGCAUAACGUAUCGAGGGGGCAUCCUCUUGAUACCAAGGAGCAAUCCGCUGAAAGAUGGGCUCACGUCUGAUUAGUUAGUUGGCAGGGUAACGGCCUACCAAGACUGCGAUCAGUAGCCGGACUGAGAGGUUGAACGGCCACAUUGGGACUGAGAUACGGCCCAGACUCC
RNAcentral lists this ribosomal RNA (337 nucleotides) under uncultured Oscillospiraceae bacterium. Its description in RNAcentral is "bacterial SSU rRNA". It matches the Rfam family "Bacterial small subunit ribosomal RNA", at positions 8 to 339 of the family's 1533-position model. Lineage: Bacteria; Bacillati; Bacillota; Clostridia; Eubacteriales; Oscillospiraceae. The record is from RNAcentral.